CCUACGGGCGGCAGCAGUGGGGAAUAUUGGACAAUGGGGGCAACCCUGAUCCAGCCAUGCCGCGUGUGUGAAGAAGGCCCUCGGGUUGUAAAGCACUUUCAGUGAGGAAGAACGCCUGGUGGUUAAUACCCAUCAGGAAAGACAUCACUCACAGAAGAAGCACCGGCUAACUCCGUGCCAGCAGCCGCGGUAAUACGGAGGGUGCGAGCGUUAAUCGGAAUUACUGGGCGUAAAGCGCGCGUAGGUGGCUUGAUAAGCCGGUUGUGAAAGCCCCGGGCUCAACCUGGGAACGGCAUCCGGAACUGUCAAGCUAGAGUGCAGGAGAGGAAGGCAGAAUUCCCGGUGUAGCGGUGAAAUGCGUAGAGAUCGGGAGGAAUACCAGUGGCGAAGGCGGCCUUCUGGACUGACACUGACACUGAGGUGCGAAAGCGUGGGUAGCAAACAGGAUUAGAUACCCGUGUAGUC
This 465-nucleotide ribosomal RNA is filed under the name Vreelandella stevensii. RNAcentral's name for it is "partial 16S ribosomal RNA". It matches the Rfam family "Bacterial small subunit ribosomal RNA", at positions 338 to 795 of the family's 1533-position model. The record is from RNAcentral. Lineage: Bacteria; Pseudomonadati; Pseudomonadota; Gammaproteobacteria; Oceanospirillales; Halomonadaceae.